UACGAGAGGCCCAAACGUUAUUCGGAAUCACUGGGCUUAAAGAGUUCGUAGGCGGCGCGGAAAGUGGGGUGUGAAAUCCCUCGGCUCAACCGAGGAACUGCAUUCCAUACUACCGCGCUAGAGGAGGCUAGAGGUGAGCAGAACUGAUGGUGGAGCGGUGAAAUGCGUUGAUAUCAUCAGGAAUACCGGAGGCGAAGGCGGCUCACUGGGACCUUUCUGACGCUGAGGAACGAAAGCUAGGGGAGCAAACGGG
This 253-nucleotide ribosomal RNA is filed under the name uncultured bacterium. Its description in RNAcentral is "partial 16S ribosomal RNA". It matches the Rfam family "Bacterial small subunit ribosomal RNA", at positions 524 to 776 of the family's 1533-position model. The record is from RNAcentral.